Molecule: long non-coding RNA, 1047 nt
Organism: Zea mays
Lineage: Eukaryota; Viridiplantae; Streptophyta; Magnoliopsida; Poales; Poaceae
Exons: 3
Source: RefSeq, a predicted model, not a curated record
CAAGUUUGUUUUGUUAUGAUGUAUUUUGACAUUUGAAUCUCAGACAUGCUUAGGAACUACUGAUUUGAAUUUAUGGGCUGACAGUUCCAGUAUUUCAAAUAGGAAGAAUGCUAUAUCAAAUAAGUUGAUGAUACUUUUGGUACUGGAGAAUGAAGCUAGACUGCAUUUGAUAUUAGAAGUUUGUUUGUCUGAUUGCAGUUGAUUAUAAAGAAGCUAGAGCUGAUAUUAGAAGUCUGAUAUUAGAAGUCUGUUUGUCUGACUGCAGUUGAUUAUAAAGAAGCUAGAGCUUCCAGUCAAGUUUGAUAUUAGAAGUCUUCUUUUGCUUUUACAUUUUGUUUUUUUUAUGAUCUUGAUCUUAGAAGCAGGGUUUUGGUACCAGCUUAACUAAUUUUCUGAAGUUUUAUGUUCUUACUUUAAUUAUAACUAGAUGAUUGCAAUAAGAUAUCAUGAGGCGCGCCAAGGAGAACAGGGGCCUCCUCCUUCGACAGGCAGCUGCUGCGGAAGGAGGUGGUGAGGAGGGUCAAGGCCGCGGUGGCGGGACGUGAGUGAAGUGAGCUUUGUCGAGCCUAUAUGUGGAGGUCGGUCGUGAAGCUGGGACUAGGACAAGGGCGAGCUGAAGGCUAGAAGCUGUAAAUGCACCCUUCAAGAGUCUUCAUAGGCCCAGUCUCUACGUAGGUGUUGACAAAAAGGAAAAUUCAUGACAAUGCGUUUAUAUGAGAUUGUCCAAUAUCGAAACCAAGAAUACAUGGGGGACAACUGUAUUCGAUUUUUGUUUCUCUUUCGUGGAGUAUUACUGAAAUAUAUGCUUCCAGUGUUGAAGUUUCCAAAUUAAAUGUUAUCUCUGUACAAAGUGUGCAGGCUCGGUUAUAGGAAUUUUAUAAAGCAAAUGACAAAUAUACAUGUACGAACUUCAAAUAUUUCCUGUGGAAGGAAACAGUGGGCGAUGAAAGCAAGGAAUUUGGGAGGUACAUGCGACAGAGAGAAGAGCAAGAGAAGCAGGAAGUGGAGUUGUUCACUCGGGCUCCUGUAACCAAACAUGAUAAGCAG